RNAcentral lists this ribosomal RNA (1343 nucleotides) under uncultured bacterium. Its description in RNAcentral is "16S ribosomal RNA". It matches the Rfam family "Bacterial small subunit ribosomal RNA", at positions 28 to 1378 of the family's 1533-position model. The record is from RNAcentral.
GACGAACGCUGGCGGCGUGCUUAACACAUGCAAGUCGAACGGAAAGGCCCUGCUUUUGUGGGGUGCUCGAGUGGCGAACGGGUGAGUAACACGUGAGUAACCUGCCCUUGACUUUGGGAUAACUUCAGGAAACUGGGGCUAAUACCGGAUAGGAGCUCCUGCUGCAUGGUGGGGGUUGGAAAGUUUCGGCGGUUGGGGAUGGACUCGCGGCUUAUCAGCUUGUUGGUGGGGUAGUGGCUUACCAAGGCUUUGACGGGUAGCCGGCCUGAGAGGGUGACCGGCCACAUUGGGACUGAGAUACGGCCCAGACUCCUACGGGAGGCAGCAGUGGGGAAUAUUGCACAAUGGGCGGAAGCCUGAUGCAGCAACGCCGCGUGCGGGAUGACGGCCUUCGGGUUGUAAACCGCUUUCGCCUGUGACGAAGCGUGAGUGACGGUAAUGGGUAAAGAAGCACCGGCUAACUACGUGCCAGCAGCCGCGGUGAUACGUAGGGUGCGAGCGUUGUCCGGAUUUAUUGGGCGUAAAGGGCUCGUAGGUGGUUGAUCGCGUCGGAAGUGUAAUCUUGGGGCUUAACCCUGAGCGUGCUUUCGAUACGGGUUGACUUGAGGAAGGUAGGGGAGAAUGGAAUUCCUGGUGGAGCGGUGGAAUGCGCAGAUAUCAGGAGGAACACCAGUGGCGAAGGCGGUUCUCUGGGCCUUUCCUGACGCUGAGGAGCGAAAGCGUGGGGAGCGAACAGGCUUAGAUACCCUGGUAGUCCACGCUGUAAACGGUGGGUACUAGGUGUGGGGUCCAUUCCACGGGUUCCGUGCCGUAGCUAACGCUCUAAGUACCCCGCCUGGGGAGUACGGCCGCAAGGCUAAAACUCAAAGGAGUUGACGGGGCCCCGCACAAGCGGCGGAGCAUGCGGAUUAAUUCGAUGCAACGCGUAGAACCUUACCUGGGUUUGACAUGGAUCGGGAGUGCUCAGAGAUGGGUGUGCCUCUUUUGGGGUCGGUUCACAGGUGGUGCAUGGCUGUCGUCAGCUCGUGUCGUGAGAUGUUGGGUUAAGUCCCGCAACGAGCGCAACCCUUGUUCACUGUUGCCAGCACGUUAUGGUGGGGACUCAGUGGAGACCGCCGGGGUCAACUCGGAGGAAGGUGGGGAUGACGUCAAGUCAUCAUGCCCCUUAUGUCCAGGGCUUCACGCAUGCUACAAUGGCUGGUACAGAGAGUGGCGAGCCUGUGAGGGUGAGCGAAUCUCGGAAAGCCGGUCUCAGUUCGGAUUGGGGUCUGCAACUCGACCUCAUGAAGUCGGAGUCGCUAGUAAUCGCAGAUCAGCAACGCUGCGGUGAAUACGUUCCCGGG